CACCACUAGACAAAGGGGCUGGAAGGAG
This 28-nucleotide non-coding RNA is filed under the name Mus musculus (house mouse). The record is from RNAcentral. Lineage: Eukaryota; Metazoa; Chordata; Mammalia; Rodentia; Muridae.